This 1444-nucleotide ribosomal RNA is filed under the name marine metagenome. RNAcentral describes it as "bacterial LSU rRNA". It matches the Rfam family "Bacterial large subunit ribosomal RNA", at positions 568 to 1985 of the family's 2925-position model. The record is from RNAcentral.
AAGCAGUCGGAGCCCACUUGUUGGGUGACGGCGUACCUUUUGUAUAAUGGGUCAACGACUUAAUUUUAGUAGCAAGCUUAACCGUUUAGGGGAGGCGUAGGGAAACCGAGUCUUAAUAGGGCGACUUAGUGUCAGGUAUUAUACGCGAAACCGGACGAUCUAUCCAUGGCCUGGGUGAAGGUGAGGUAACACUUACUGGAGGCCCGAACCCACCUAUGUUGAAAAAUGGGGGGAUGAGCUGUGGAUAGGAGUGAAAGGCUAAUCAAACCCGGAGAUAGCUGGUUCUCCCCGAAAUCUAUUUAGGUAGAGCCUCGGACGAAUACUUACGGGGGUAGAGCACUGUUUCGGCUAGGGGGUCAUCCCGACUUACCAAACCGAUGCAAACUCCGAAUACCAACAAGUACAGUGAGGGAGACAGACUGCGGGUGCUAACGUCCGUAGUCGAGAGGGAAACAACCCAGAUCGCCAGCUAAGGUCCCAAAGUAUGAUUAAGUGGGAAACGUUGUAGGAAGGCCCAAACAGCUAGGAGGUUGGCUUAGAAGCAGCCAUCCUUUAAAGAAAGCGUAACAGCUCACUAGUCGAGUCGGCCUGCGCGGAAGAUGUAACGGGGCUAAAUAAUACACCGAAGCUGCGGGUGCACAACGGCUUGUCCGUUUGUGCACGGUAGGGGAGCGUUCUGUAUGCCACUGAAGGUAAAUCGAGAGGUUUAUUGGAGGUAUCAGAAGUGAGAAUGCUGACAUAAGUAACGAUAAGAGGGGUGAAAAACCUCUCCGCCGAAAGACCAAGGUUUCCUGUCCAACGUUAAUCGGGACAGGGUGAGUCGACCCCUAAGGCGAGGGCGAAAGCCGUAGUCGAUGGGAAAUAGGUUAAUAUUCCUAUACUUCUUGUUACUGCGAUGGAGUGACGGAGAAGGCUAGGCCAGCACAGCGACGGUUGUUCUGUGUUUAAGGUUGUAGGUUGGAGAUUUAGGUAAAUCCGGAUCUCUAAGACCGAGAACUGAUGACGAUUAUUUCUUAGGAAAUAAUAAGUAGUUGAUGCCACGCUUCCAGGAAAAACUUCUAAGCUAUAGGUAGCAAGGAAUCGUACCGUAAACCGACACAGGUGGUCAGGUAGAGAAUACUAAGGCGCUUGAGAGAACUCUGGUGAAGGAACUAGGCAAAAUGGUACCGUAACUUCGGGAGAAGGUACGCCCUCAUUACGUGAAGAGACUUGCUCUCGGAGCGGAAGAGGGUCGAAGAUACCAGUUAGCUGCGACUGUUUACUAAAAACAUAGCACUCUGCAAACAUGAAAGUGGACGUAUAGGGUGUGACGCCUGCCCGGUGCCGGAAGGUUAAUUGACUGGGUUAGCCCUUUUGGGCGAAGCUCGUGAUCGAAGCCCCGGUGAACGGCGGCCGUAACUAUAACGGUCCUAAGGUAGCGAAAUUCCUUGUCGGGUAAGUUCCG